RNAcentral lists this vault RNA (71 nucleotides) under Neogobius melanostomus (round goby). RNAcentral's name for it is "Vault RNA (ENSNMLG00000020160.1)". It matches the Rfam family "Vault RNA". Rfam says of the family: This family of RNAs are found as part of the enigmatic vault ribonucleoprotein complex. Lineage: Eukaryota; Metazoa; Chordata; Actinopteri; Gobiiformes; Gobiidae. The record is from Rfam by way of RNAcentral.
AUACUGGUGUAGCUCAGUGGUUACUUCAAUCGCUGCGUGGGAUCGAGCCCCGGGUGCUGUCCAGUGCUUUU